Molecule: ribosomal RNA, 495 nt
Filed under: uncultured bacterium
Lineage: Bacteria
Description: partial 16S ribosomal RNA
Rfam family: Bacterial small subunit ribosomal RNA
Source: RNAcentral
GAUGAACGCUGGCGGCGUGCCUAAUACAUGCAAGUAGAACGCUGAAGGAGGAGCUUGCUCUUCUGGAUGAGUUGCGAACGGGUGAGUAACGCGUAGGUAACCUGCCUGGUAGCGGGGGAUAACUAUUGGAAACGAUAGCUAAUACCGCAUGACAACAGUUAUUGCAUGAUAACUGUUUAAAAGGGGCAACUGCUCCACUACCAGAUGGACCUGCGUUGUAUUAGCUAGUUGGUGAGGUAACGGCUCACCAAGGCGACGAUACAUAGCCGACCUGAGAGGGUGAUCCGGCAAACUGGGAAUGGAGAACGGCCCCGAAUCCUACGGGGAGCAGCAGUAGGGGAACUUCGGCAAAUGACGGAAGGCUGAACGAGCAAAGCCGGGGGAGUGAAGAAGGGUUUCGGAUCGGAAAGCUCUGUUGUAAGAGAAGGACGAGUGUGAGAGUGGAAAGUUCACACUGUGACGGUAUCUUACCAGAAAGGGACGGCUAACUACGUG